This 2927-nucleotide ribosomal RNA is filed under the name Escherichia coli. RNAcentral's name for it is "partial 23S ribosomal RNA". It matches the Rfam family "Bacterial large subunit ribosomal RNA". Lineage: Bacteria; Pseudomonadati; Pseudomonadota; Gammaproteobacteria; Enterobacterales; Enterobacteriaceae. The record is from RNAcentral.
GGGUUGUGAGGUUAAGCGACUAAGCGUACACGGUGGAUGCCCUGGCAGUCAGAGGCGAUGAAGGACGUGCUAAUCUGCGAUAAGCGUCGGUAAGGUGAUAUGAACCGUUAUAACCGGCGAUUUCCGAAUGGGGAAACCCAGUGUGAUUCGUCACACUAUCAUUAACUGAAUCCAUAGGUUAAUGAGGCGAACCGGGGGAACUGAAACAUCUAAGUACCCCGAGGAAAAGAAAUCAACCGAGAUUCCCCCAGUAGCGGCGAGCGAACGGGGAGCAGCCCAGAGCCUGAAUCAGUGUGUGUGUUAGUGGAAGCGUCUGGAAAGGCGCGCGAUACAGGGUGACAGCCCCGUACACAAAAAUGCACAUGCUGUGAGCUCGAUGAGUAGGGCGGGACACGUGGUAUCCUGUCUGAAUAUGGGGGGACCAUCCUCCAAGGCUAAAUACUCCUGACUGACCGAUAGUGAACCAGUACCGUGAGGGAAAGGCGAAAAGAACCCCGGCGAGGGGAGUGAAAAAGAACCUGAAACCGUGUACGUACAAGCAGUGGGAGCACAGAGCAAUCUGUGUGACUGCGUACCUUUUGUAUAAUGGGUCAGCGACUUAUAUUCUGUAGCAAGGUUAACCGAAUAGGGGAGCCGAAGGGAAACCGAGUCUUAACUGGGCGUUAAGUUGCAGGGUAUAGACCCGAAACCCGGUGAUCUAGCCAUGGGCAGGUUGAAGGUUGGGUAACACUAACUGGAGGACCGAACCGACUAAUGUUGAAAAAUUAGCGGAUGACUUGUGGCUGGGGGUGAAAGGCCAAUCAAACCGGGAGAUAGCUGGUUCUCCCCGAAAGCUAUUUAGGUAGCGCCUCGUGAAUUCAUCUCCGGGGGUAGAGCACUGUUUCGGCAAGGGGGUCAUCCCGACUUACCAACCCGAUGCAAACUGCGAAUACCGGAGAAUGUUAUCACGGGAGACACACGGCGGGUGCUAACGUCCGUCGUGAAGAGGGAAACAACCCAGACCGCCAGCUAAGGUCCCAAAGUCAUGGUUAAGUGGGAAACGAUGUGGGAAGGCCCAGACAGCCAGGAUGUUGGCUUAGAAGCAGCCAUCAUUUAAAGAAAGCGUAAUAGCUCACUGGUCGAGUCGGCCUGCGCGGAAGAUGUAACGGGGCUAAACCAUGCACCGAAGCUGCGGCAGCGACGCUGAUGCGUUGUUGGGUAGGGGAGCGUUCUGUAAGCCUGCGAAGGUGUGCUGUGAGGCAUGCUGGAGGUAUCAGAAGUGCGAAUGCUGACAUAAGUAACGAUAAAGCGGGUGAAAAGCCCGCUCGCCGGAAGACCAAGGGUUCCUGUCCAACGUUAAUCGGGGCAGGGUGAGUCGACCCCUAAGGCGAGGCCGAAAGGCGUAGUCGAUGGGAAACAGGUUAAUAUUCCUGUACUUGGUGUUACUGCGAAGGGGGGACGGAGAAGGCUAUGUUGGCCGGGCGACGGUUGUCCCGGUUUAAGCGUGUAGGCUGGUUUUCCAGGCAAAUCCGGAAAAUCAAGGCUGAGGCGUGAUGACGAGGCACUACGGUGCUGAAGCAACAAAUGCCCUGCUUCCAGGAAAAGCCUCUAAGCAUCAGGUAACAUCAAAUCGUACCCCAAACCGACACAGGUGGUCAGGUAGAGAAUACCAAGGCGCUUGAGAGAACUCGGGUGAAGGAACUAGGCAAAAUGGUGCCGUAACUUCGGGAGAAGGCACGCUGAUAUGUAGGUGAAGUCCCUCGCGGAUGGAGCUGAAAUCAGUCGAAGAUACCAGCUGGCUGCAACUGUUUAUUAAAAACACAGCACUGUGCAAACACGAAAGUGGACGUAUACGGUGUGACGCCUGCCCGGUGCCGGAAGGUUAAUUGAUGGGGUUAGCGCAAGCGAAGCUCUUGAUCGAAGCCCCGGUAAACGGCGGCCGUAACUAUAACGGUCCUAAGGUAGCGAAAUUCCUUGUCGGGUAAGUUCCGACCUGCACGAAUGGCGUAAUGAUGGCCAGGCUGUCUCCACCCGAGACUCAGUGAAAUUGAACUCGCUGUGAAGAUGCAGUGUACCCGCGGCAAGACGGAAAGACCCCGUGAACCUUUACUAUAGCUUGACACUGAACAUUGAGCCUUGAUGUGUAGGAUAGGUGGGAGGCUUUGAAGUGUGGACGCCAGUCUGCAUGGAGCCGACCUUGAAAUACCACCCUUUAAUGUUUGAUGUUCUAACGUUGACCCGUAAUCCGGGUUGCGGACAGUGUCUGGUGGGUAGUUUGACUGGGGCGGUCUCCUCCUAAAGAGUAACGGAGGAGCACGAAGGUUGGCUAAUCCUGGUCGGACAUCAGGAGGUUAGUGCAAUGGCAUAAGCCAGCUUGACUGCGAGCGUGACGGCGCGAGCAGGUGCGAAAGCAGGUCAUAGUGAUCCGGUGGUUCUGAAUGGAAGGGCCAUCGCUCAACGGAUAAAAGGUACUCCGGGGAUAACAGGCUGAUACCGCCCAAGAGUUCAUAUCGACGGCGGUGUUUGGCACCUCGAUGUCGGCUCAUCACAUCCUGGGGCUGAAGUAGGUCCCAAGGGUAUGGCUGUUCGCCAUUUAAAGUGGUACGCGAGCUGGGUUUAGAACGUCGUGAGACAGUUCGGUCCCUAUCUGCCGUGGGCGCUGGAGAACUGAGGGGGGCUGCUCCUAGUACGAGAGGACCGGAGUGGACGCAUCACUGGUGUUCGGGUUGUCAUGCCAAUGGCACUGCCCGGUAGCUAAAUGCGGAAGAGAUAAGUGCUGAAAGCAUCUAAGCACGAAACUUGCCCCGAGAUGAGUUCUCCCUGACUCCUUGAGAGUCCUGAAGGAACGUUGAAGACGACGACGUUGAUAGGCCGGGUGUGUAAGCGCAGCGAUGCGUUGAGCUAACCGGUACUAAUGAACCGUGAGGCUUAACCUUACAACGCCGAAG